UGAGGAAUCUUGCGCAAUGGGGGAAACCCUGACGCAGCAACGCCGCGUGAGUGAGGAAGGCCUUCGGGUCGUAAAGCUCUGUCAGAUGGGAAGAAAUGGGUGGGGCUAAUAUCGCCCAUCCUUGACGGUACCAUCAGAGGAAGCACCGGCUAACUCCGUGCCAGCAGCCGCGGUAAUACGGGGGUG
This 186-nucleotide ribosomal RNA is filed under the name uncultured bacterium. RNAcentral's name for it is "partial 16S ribosomal RNA". It matches the Rfam family "Bacterial small subunit ribosomal RNA", at positions 355 to 534 of the family's 1533-position model. The record is from RNAcentral.